Molecule: ribosomal RNA, 1044 nt
Filed under: uncultured Verrucomicrobiota bacterium
Lineage: Bacteria; Pseudomonadati; Verrucomicrobiota
Description: bacterial SSU rRNA
Rfam family: Bacterial small subunit ribosomal RNA
Source: RNAcentral
GAGUUUGAUCCUGGCUCAGAACGAACGCUGGCGGCGUGGAUAAGACAUGCAAGUCGAACGGGAUAUCAUUUGUAGCAAUACAAGUGAUGUCUAGUGGCGUAAGGGUGCGUAACACGUGGGGAAUCUGCCGAGAAGUGGGGGAUAGCUCGCCGAAAGGCGAAUUAAUACCGCAUGUGGUUAGUGAAGACAUCUUCACGAUACCAAAGCCGGGGCAACCUGGCGCUUCUUGAUGACCCCGCGGCCUAUCAGCUAGUUGGUGAGGUAACGGCUCACCAAGGCUAUGACGGGUAGCUGGUCUGAGAGGACGACCAGCCACACUGGAACUGAGACACGGUCCAGACACCUACGGGUGGCAGCAGUCGAGAAUUUUUCUCAAUGGGGGAAACCCUGAAGGAGCGACGCCGCGUGGAGGAUGAAGGUCUUCGGAUUGUAAACUCCUGUCAUUUGGGAACAAUUGUUGGCGAUUAACUGUCGUCAGCUUGAUAGUACCAGAAGAGGAAGAGACGGCUAACUCUGUGCCAGCAGCCGCGGUAAUACAGAGGUCUCAAGCGUUGUUCGGAUUCAUUGGGCGUAAAGGGUGCGUAGGUGGCGAGGUAAGUCUGGUGUGAAAUCUCGGAGCUCAACUCCGAAACUGCACUGGAUACUGCUUUGCUCGAGUACUGGAGAGGAGAUUGGAAUUUACGGUGUAGCAGUGAAAUGCGUAGAUAUCGUAAGGAAGACCAGUGGCGAAGGCGAAUCUCUGGACAGUUACUGACACUGAGGCACGAAGGCCAGGGGAGCAAACGGGAUUAGAUACCCCGGUAGUCCUGGCAGUAAACGGUGCGCGUUUGGUGUGGGAGGAUUCGACCCCUUCUGUGCCGGAGCUAACGCGUUAAACGCGCCGCCUGGGGAGUACGGUCGCAAGAUUAAAACUCAAAGAAAUUGACGGGGGCCCGCACAAGCGGUGGAGUAUGUGGCUUAAUUCGAUGCAACGCGAAGAACCUUACCUAGCCUUGACAUGCAUCUCUAAGUCGGUGAAAGCCGGCGACUGUAGCAAUACAGAAU